This 1114-nucleotide ribosomal RNA is filed under the name Leuconostoc mesenteroides. RNAcentral's name for it is "bacterial SSU rRNA". It matches the Rfam family "Bacterial small subunit ribosomal RNA", at positions 38 to 1133 of the family's 1533-position model. Lineage: Bacteria; Bacillati; Bacillota; Bacilli; Lactobacillales; Lactobacillaceae. The record is from RNAcentral.
GGGGGUGGGGGCAGACUAUACAUGCAGUCGACGCACAGCGAAAGGUGCUUGCACCUUUCAAGUGAGUGGCGAACGGGUGAGUAACACGUGGACAACCUGCCUCAAGGCUGGGGAUAACAUUUGGAAACAGAUGCUAAUACCGAAUAAAACUUAGUGUCGCAUGACACAAAGUUAAAAGGCGCUUCGGCGUCACCUAGAGAUGGAUCCGCGGUGCAUUAGUUAGUUGGUGGGGUAAAGGCCUACCAAGACAAUGAUGCAUAGCCGAGUUGAGAGACUGAUCGGCCACAUUGGGACUGAGACACGGCCCAAACUCCUACGGGAGGCUGCAGUAGGGAAUCUUCCACAAUGGGCGAAAGCCUGAUGGAGCAACGCCGCGUGUGUGAUGAAGGCUUUCGGGUCGUAAAGCACUGUUGUAUGGGAAGAACAGCUAGAAUAGGAAAUGAUUUUAGUUUGACGGUACCAUACCAGAAAGGGACGGCUAAAUACGUGCCAGCAGCCGCGGUAAUACGUAUGUCCCGAGCGUUAUCCGGAUUUAUUGGGCGUAAAGCGAGCGCAGACGGUUUAUUAAGUCUGAUGUGAAAGCCCGGAGCUCAACUCCGGAAUGGCAUUGGAAACUGGUUAACUUGAGUGCAGUAGAGGUAAGUGGAACUCCAUGUGUAGCGGUGGAAUGCGUAGAUAUAUGGAAGAACACCAGUGGCGAAGGCGGCUUACUGGACUGCAACUGACGUUGAGGCUCGAAAGUGUGGGUAGCAAACAGGAUUAGAUACCCUGGUAGUCCACACCGUAAACGAUGAACACUAGGUGUUAGGAGGUUUCCGCCUCUUAGUGCCGAAGCUAACGCAUUAAGUGUUCCGCCUGGGGAGUACGACCGCAAGGUUGAAACUCAAAGGAAUUGACGGGGACCCGCACAAGCGGUGGAGCAUGUGGUUUAAUUCGAAGCAACGCGAAGAACCUUACCAGGUCUUGACAUCCUUUGAAGCUUUUAGAGAUAGAAGUGUUCUCUUCGGAGACAAAGUGACAGUGGUGCAUGGUCGUCGUCAGCUCGUGUCGUGAGAUGUUGGGUUAAGUCCCGCAACGAGCGCAACCCUUAUUGUUAGUUGCCAGCAUUCAGAUG